This 638-nucleotide ribosomal RNA is filed under the name Vibrio sp. RNAcentral's name for it is "bacterial SSU rRNA". It matches the Rfam family "Bacterial small subunit ribosomal RNA", at positions 73 to 702 of the family's 1533-position model. Lineage: Bacteria; Pseudomonadati; Pseudomonadota; Gammaproteobacteria; Vibrionales; Vibrionaceae. The record is from RNAcentral.
AUCUUCGGAGGAUUUGUUGGGCGUCGAGCGGCGGACGGGUGAGUAAUGCCUAGGAAAUUGCCUUGAUGUGGGGGAUAACCAUUGGAAACGAUGGCUAAUACCGCAUAAUGCCUACGGGCCAAAGAGGGGGANCUUCGGACCUCUCGCGUCAAGAUAUGCCUAGGUGGGAUUAGCUAGUUGGUGAGGUAAUGGCUCACCAAGGCGACGAUCCCUAGCUGGUCUGAGAGGAUGAUCAGCCACACUGGAACUGAGACACGGUCCAGACUCCUACGGGAGGCAGCAGUGGGGAAUAUUGCACAAUGGGCGAAAGCCUGAUGCAGCCAUGCCGCGUGUAUGAAGAAGGCCUUCGGGUUGUAAAGUACUUUCAGUUGUGAGGAAGGGGGUAACGUUAAUAGCGUUAUCUCUUGACGUUAGCAACAGAAGAAGCACCGGCUAACUCCGUGCCAGCAGCCGCGGUAAUACGGAGGGUGCGAGCGUUAAUCGGAAUUACUGGGCGUAAAGCGCAUGCAGGUGGUUCAUUAAGUCAGAUGUGAAAGCCCGGGGCUCAACCUCGGAACUGCAUUUGAAACUGGUGAACUAGAGUGCUGUAGAGGGGGGUAGAAUUUCAGGUGUAGCGGNGAAAUGCGUAGAGAUCUGAA